This 65-nucleotide transfer RNA is filed under the name Parasarpa dudu (white commodore). RNAcentral's name for it is "tRNA-Ala". Lineage: Eukaryota; Metazoa; Arthropoda; Insecta; Lepidoptera; Nymphalidae. The record is from RNAcentral.
AGGAUUAUAGUUUAUUUAAAACAUUUGAUUUGCACUCAAAUAAAAUUAGAAUUCUAAUUUAUCUU